UACAGAGGGUGCAAGCGUUGUUCGGAAUUAUUGGGCGUAAAGCGCGUGUAGGCGGCUUUGCAAGUCGGGUGUGAAAGCCCUCGCUCAACCGAGGAAGUGCGCCCGAAACUGCAGAGCUUGAGUACCGGAGAGGAUGGCGGAAUUCCCCAAGUAGAGGUGAAAUUCGUAGAUAUUCGGAAGAACACCAGUGGCGAAGGCGGCUUACUGGCCGGAACUGACGCUGAGGUGCAAAAGCGUGGGGAGCAAACAGGG
RNAcentral lists this ribosomal RNA (252 nucleotides) under uncultured bacterium. RNAcentral describes it as "partial 16S ribosomal RNA". It matches the Rfam family "Bacterial small subunit ribosomal RNA", at positions 524 to 777 of the family's 1533-position model. The record is from RNAcentral.